Molecule: ribosomal RNA, 468 nt
Filed under: uncultured bacterium
Lineage: Bacteria
Description: partial 16S ribosomal RNA
Rfam family: Bacterial small subunit ribosomal RNA
Source: RNAcentral
GACGAACGCUGGCGGCGUGCUUAACACAUGCAAGUCGAACGGAAAGGCCCUGCUUUUGUGGGGUGCUCGAGUGGCGAACGGGUGAGUAACACGUGAGUAACCUGCCCUUGACUUUGGGAUAACUUCAGGAAACUGGGGCUAAUACCGGAUAGGAGCUCCUGCUGCAUGGUGGGGGUGGGAAAGUUUCGGCGGUUGGGGAUGGACUCCCGGCUUUUCAGCUUGUUGGUGGGGUAGUGGCUUACCAAGGCUUUGACGGGUAGCCGGCCUGAGAGGGUGACCGGCCACAUUGGGACUGAGAUACGGCCCAGACUCCUACGGGAGGCAGCAGUGGGGAAUAUUGCACAAUGGGCGGAAGCCUGAUGCAGCAACGCCGCGUGCGGGAUGACGGCCUUCGGGUUGUAAACCGCUUUCGCCUGUGACGAAGCGUGAGUGACGGUAAUGGGUAAAGAAGCACCGGCUAACUACGUG